Molecule: ribosomal RNA, 253 nt
Filed under: uncultured bacterium
Lineage: Bacteria
Description: partial 16S ribosomal RNA
Rfam family: Bacterial small subunit ribosomal RNA
Source: RNAcentral
UACGUAGGGGGCAAGCGUUAUCCGGAAUUACUGGGUGUAGAGGGAGCGUAGACGGUGAUGCAAGUCUGGAGUGAAAGGCGGGGGCCCAACCCCCGGACUGCUCUGGAAACUGUAUGACUGGAGUGCAGGAGAGGUAAGCGGAAUUCCUAGUGUAGCGGUGAAAUGCGUAGAUAUUAGGAGGAACACCAGUGGCGAAGGCGGCUUACUGGACUGUAACUGACGUUGAGGCUCGAAAGCGUGGGGAGCAAACAGG